This 518-nucleotide ribosomal RNA is filed under the name uncultured bacterium. RNAcentral describes it as "bacterial SSU rRNA". It matches the Rfam family "Bacterial small subunit ribosomal RNA", at positions 372 to 881 of the family's 1533-position model. The record is from RNAcentral.
UGGGGGGAACCCUGAUCCAGCCAUGCCGCGUGUGUGAAGAAGGCCUUUUGGUUGUAAAGCACUUUAAGCGAGGAGGAGGCUACUGGUAUUAAUACUACCGGAUAGUGGACGUUACUCGCAGAAUAAGCACCGGCUAACUCUGUGCCAGCAGCCGCGGUAAUACAGAGGGUGCGAGCGUUAAUCGGAUUUACUGGGCGUAAAGCGUGCGUAGGCGGCUUUUUAAGUCGGAUGUGAAAUCCCUGAGCUUAACUUAGGAAUUGCAUUCGAUACUGGGAAGCUAGAGUAUGGGAGAGGAUGGUAGAAUUCCAGGUGUAGCGGUGAAAUGCGUAGAGAUCUGGAGGAAUACCGAUGGCGAAGGCAGCCAUCUGGCCUAAUACUGACGCUGAGGUACGAAAGCAUGGGGAGCAAACAGGAUUAGAUACCCUGGUAGUCCAUGCCGUAAACGAUGUCUACUAGCCGUUGGGGCCUUUGAGGCUUUAGUGGCGCAGCUAACGCGAUAAGUAGACCGCCUGGGGAGU